This 278-nucleotide unclassified non-coding RNA is filed under the name Hevea brasiliensis (rubber tree). The record is from RNAcentral. Lineage: Eukaryota; Viridiplantae; Streptophyta; Magnoliopsida; Malpighiales; Euphorbiaceae.
CGUCAGCGCCUUCAGGCCGCCGAAAGCCAGCGACAGAUUGCUGACGUUCAACUCGGCCGACGAUGACGCAUCACGAUCCCGCAUCGUCAUGCUGCGCUCCGCGCGAUCAGCCCAUCGAUAUCCGGACGCACCGGAUUCCCCAACCCUGUCACCACGAUCUCCCCCUAUGUAUUCCCCGGCGCUUUCAGCGCUCUUUUGGCGAAGUGUUUUUAAGACACCGUCCUCAUCGCUUUUGUUGCGCCAACAGCGCAUGUUCCAUGUACAUCCGCUCCACAGGC